UUUGAAAUAAAAAUUACAACACAAUAAGUGCGUGUAACAUCCCGGAAUCCACAAACACCCCGGAAUGUUACUGAACUACACUUCUGACAUCCGUAUAUAAAAUUUCGACAGCAUCUCCUUUGCAAAAUAGCAUAAAGGAGGGGGCAACAGUGUAUAAACAUGUAUCAUGACAAAAAAACAUACUAAGUAUUAUUAAACGGCUAGCAAAGGAAAGUUAAACAUACGACAUGAACUGAAUUAACCAGUGCGCAUGACUAGUAAAAAAAACAAACAUCCUUUGACAUCAAGUUUCUAAUUAAAUCAUGGAUGCGCUUGGGCAGCCUUAAUAUGAGAGUGAAAGUGGACGUGCUGCUACUCCCCUCAUUCCCCACAUAUAUCAAGUACCUGCAUUGAGUAAUGCAAGAGUGAGAUGACACAUCUCAGCAAGUAAAAUAAUAACAAACUGUUUAACCACAUAAGAACAUUGUUUUACCACCAUUUGAUUUCGCAACCUUCUUAUUACGAAGGUGCAGCACGAAUACAACGUACAACACACCUAGUUACCACACCUCGCAGGUAGAAACCACAAUAGUAACAUAGUAAUGUCACACUUCAUAUAUACCUCAUGAGUGCAAAUGUCUGCAAAUGCAAGGAUGACUUCUGCCUUCAUACCUCUAAGGGUAUGAAGCCGCAUCGUACCCCUCCUCGGGCAACGUACGAUGCUAAAAGUGUACCGGUACGGUCGGACCAUAAGAUCACGACAUAACUUCAAAAUGCAAUAUGGAUGAUGCGAUGUGCAUGACAUGCCUACAACACUUCAUACAACGUGAUUCAAAAAGAUACUUCAACUUCAUCCAAGAUGGGAAUCAACCACAUAUAUCAUUCCCAAAUCAUGAUCAUCCUCAAUAUUAGACAAUUGAGAAUUAAUUCUUUCGAACAAAUAAACUUCAUCAUAGAAUUCAAUGAUUAACACAUUUAAUACUUAUGCAUACUCAAUGACAAGGCAUAGGGUGCAAACCAAACGGUAGCAACCACCACUGUAUUUACUUGCCUUCACCGGGAAUUUGGAAUGGUACUAAGUACGAUCCGGAAGUCCACCACCUGUUUUUGACACACACCUUAGUGUACAAAUCAACAUAACAAACGCUAAUAAACAACGCCGCACCUACGCACAAUUCCAACCCGUUGCGAGCGACAACUCUCCCCAUCACCACCAAACUGCAGCGGUGCUGCUUGAUAAUUUCAUAACUUUAAAAUUAUAACAGCAGUGAUAUCAAUCAAAAACUACGGAAGCAUUUACAUAAAAUUUCCCACAAGUUUUAUAUUCAAAUGAUAAUUAAAUUCCAGCAUCUAAUUAGCCCAAACUCGUCUACAAGAUACACCCUGCAAUCUGUUUUUGGACAGCAACAUAACCGGAUUCAAACAGCGAUAUCUCCUAAAUUAUAACUCCGAAUCGAACGCAUAAGUACUCGUUGGAAAGGUAUGACAAGGCUCUACAUGAUUCUCAUAUUGAUUAUCACCAAUUUCCCACGAAAAAUUCCCAGAAACUGCUAAUACUACUGUUGUUCGCCCACCUGCAAAAAUCUGUUUUUUUUGGACAGCAACAUACCCGGAUUCAAACAGCAAUAUCUCCUAAAAUAUAACUCCGAAUCGAGUGCAUAAGUACUCGUUGGAAAGGUAUGACAAAGCUCUAAAUGAUUCUCAUAUUGAUUAUCACUAAGUUCCCACGAAAAAUCCCCAGAAACUGCUAAUACUACUGCUGUUUGCCCACCUGCAAAUCUGUUUUUUUUGGACAGCAACAUACCCGGAUUCAAACAGCAAUAUCUCCUAAAAUAUAACUCCGAAUCGAGUGCAUAAGUACUCGUUGGAAAGGUAUGACAAAGCUCUAAAUGAUUCUCAUAUUGAUUAUCACUAAGUUCCCACGAAAAAUCCCCAGAAACUGCUAAUACUACUGCUGUUUGCCCACCUGCAAAAUCUGUUUUUUUUGGACAGCAACAUACCCGGAUUCAAACAGCGAUAUCUCCUAAAAUAUAACUCCGAAUCGAGCGCAUAAGUACUCGUUGGAAAGGUAUGAAAAAGCUCUACAUGAUUCUCCCACUGAUUCCCACUAAUUACCCACGAAAAAUUCCCAGAAUCUGCUAGAACUACUGCUGUUCGCGCACCCACAAAAUUUCUGGACAGCACCUCUACCAAUUCGCAUACGUAAACAUCUAAUCGAUUGAAUUGCAGCACAAAUAAACAAGAGUUAAUCACAAAAUCACCUUGGGUUCCUCCUUUCCUCCUUCCUUCCUCCCACCAAUUCUCCAAUCGGAACUUGCACCCACACGAAGAAGAUCCGGCGAGGAAGGACAUCACUUGGAGAGGAGGAGAUGGGAGGGGGGGUGGCGGCUAGGGUUGAGGGGAUGGGGGCUGCUGCACAAGAGAGAGGGAAUUAGGGGGAAGGGGAUGGCGUCCAAAG
RNAcentral lists this long non-coding RNA (2437 nucleotides) under Zea mays. RNAcentral's name for it is "long non-coding RNA (ZMAY_LNC003276)". Lineage: Eukaryota; Viridiplantae; Streptophyta; Magnoliopsida; Poales; Poaceae. The record is from RNAcentral.